Molecule: long non-coding RNA, 2431 nt
Organism: Oncorhynchus keta (chum salmon)
Lineage: Eukaryota; Metazoa; Chordata; Actinopteri; Salmoniformes; Salmonidae
Exons: 5
Source: RefSeq, a predicted model, not a curated record
GGGAGGAGGGAGAGGAAGGGAGGGAGGGGAGGAGGGAGAGGAAGGGAGGGAGGAGGAGGGAGAGGAAGGUAGGGAGGAGGAGGGAGAGGAAGGGAGGAGGUGAGCUAAACUGACCAAGACACACCUCCAACAACAACACAAAACCUCUCAUAAUUCUGCCCAAAAACAAUGAUUCCUCUCAAGCAGUGGGGCUGUUUAGGUGAUCGCUGGCAGGAGGUAGUUCAGGGUAGUUAAUAGAUUCUGUGGUAUAUACAGUGUCCUCUGUAAUUACUGGGACAGUGAAGGGUUGGUAGGUUUAGUGUGCGGUAGGUAGGAGGUAGUUCAGGGUUGUUAAUAGAUUCUGUGGUAUAUACAGUGUCCUCUGUAAUUACUGGGACAGUGAAGGGUUGGUAGGAUUAGUGUGCGGUAGGUAGGAGGUAGUUCAGGGUUGUUAAUAGAUUCUGUGGUAUAUACAGUGUCCUCUGUAAUUACUGGGACAGUGAAGGGUUGGUAGGAUUAGUGUGCGGUAGGUAGGAGGUAGUUUAGGGUAGUUAAUAGAUUCUGUGGUAUAUACAGUGUCCUCUGUAAUUACUGGGACAGUGAAGGGUUGGUAGGAUUAGUGUGCGGUAGGUAGGAGGUAGUUUAGGGUAGUUAAUAGAUUCUGUGGUAUAUACAGUGUCCUCUGUAAUUAUUGGGACAGUGAAGCAUCUUUACUUAUUUUGGCUCUAUAGUCAAAAAGUUUGGAUUUGAAAUCUAAACAAUGACUAUGAAGUCAAAGUGCAGACUGUCAGUUUUCAUUUGAGGGUAUUUUCAUUCAUAUCAGGUGAACCGGUUAGAAAUUACAGCACUUUAUGUACAUAGUCCCCCCUCCACCUAAUAUUAGGGGCGCAUAAGUAUUGGGACAAAUGAAUAUCUAUGUGCAUUAAAGUAAUACAAAGUAUUUGGUUCCAUAUUCAUAGCAGUGACUACAUCGUGACUCUACAGAGUCAUGCUAACAUAACAUGCUAACCUCUCACCAUUACAAUAACAGGGGAGGUUAGCAUUUUAUAUCAUACCUCCAAGACAUGCUAACCUCUCACCAUUACAAUAACAGGGGAGGUUAGCAUUUUAUAUCAUACCUCCAAGACAUGCUAACCUCUCACCAUUACAAUAACAGGGGAGGUUAGCAUUUUAUAUCAUACCUCCAAGACAUGCUAACCUCUCACCAUUACAAUAACAGGGGAGGUUAGCAUUUUAUAUCAUACCUCCAAGACAUGCUAACCUCUCACCAUUACAAUAACAGGGGAGGUUAGCAUUUUAUAUCAUACCUCCAAGACAUGCUAACCUCUCACCAUUACAAUAACAGGGGAGGUUAGCAUUUUAUACCAUACCUCCAAGACAUGCUAACCUCUCACCAUUACAAUAACAGGGGAGAUUAGCAUUUUAUAUCAUACCUCCAAGACAUGCUAACCUCUCACCAUUACAAUAACAGGGGAGGUUAGCAUCUUAUAUCAUACCUCCAAGACAUGCUAACCUCUCACCAUUGCAAUAACAGGGGAGGUUAGCAUUUUAUAUCAUACCCCCAAGACAUGCUAACCUCUCACCAUUACAAUAACAGGGGAGGUUAGCAUUUUAUAUCAUACCCCCAAGACAUGCUAACCUCUCACCAUUACAAUAACAGGGGAGGUUAGCAUUUUAUAUCAUACCUCCAAGACAUGCUAACCUCUCACCAUUACAAUAACAGGGGAGGUUAGCAUUUUAUAUCAUACCUCCAAGACAUGCUAACCUCUCACCAUUACAAUAACAGGGGAGGUUAGCAUUUUAUAUCAUACCUCCAAGACAUGCUAACCUCUCACCAUUACAAUAACAGGGGAGGUUAGCAUUUUAUAUCAUACCUCCAAGACAUGCUAACCUCUCACCAUUACAAUAACAGGGGAGGUUAGCAUUUUAUAUCAUACCCCCAAGACAUGCUAACCUCUCACCAUUACAAUAACAGGGGAGGUUAGCAUUUUAUAUCAUACCUCCAAGACAUGCUAACCUCUCACCAUUACAAUAACAGGGGAGGUUAGCAUUUUAUAUCAUACCCCCAAGACAUGCUAACCUCUCACCAUUACAAUAACAGGGGAGGUUAGCAUUUUUGGGUUGAAUGAUAUUUGGGUUGAAUGAUUAAUUCAGGAUUAUCUGUAAUCGUGGUAGCAUCCACAUUAAUGUAGAAGAGUUUAGAAACAUAUUAUAUUCUAAUUUACAAGGUAGGGGUAGUUAGGGGGUAAGUAGGGGUAGUUAGGGUUAGGUAGAGCUAGUUAGGGUCAGGUAAAGGUAGUUAGAAGGUAGUUAGAGGCUGGGUAGGGUUAGGUAGGGGUAGUUAGAGGCUGGGUAGGGUUAGGUAGGGGUAGUUAGAGGCUGGGUAGGGCUGGGUAAGGUUAGGAAGGGGUAGUUAAAAGGUACUUAGAGGGUAGUUAGGGGGGUAGAUAGG